GCUUUUGGCGAUGAACGGUGGAGCUUCAUGCAAGUAGCGCCGCAAGGUGCCGUGUGCAUGGGGCGAAGCUUAGUACUUGUUGAUCUCCAUUGGAUGUUGCGGGCAAAAUCGGGAGGCGACAUCGCUCGUGGCGGCUGAUGGCUUUUGACAACAGAACGGCAAAGCAUCGUGCAAGUAGCACCGCAAGGUGCCGUGCGCAUGGGGCGAAGCUCAGUAAGUUGUUGAUUGCCAUCGGUUGUUGUGGGUUGUGUCUUGAAUCUCUCGUGGCGGCUGAUGGCUUUCAACAAAAAACGGCGGAGCCUCGUGCAAGUAGCGCCGUAAGGUGCCGUGCGCAUGGGGCGAAGCUCAGUAAAUGUUGAUU
This 361-nucleotide long non-coding RNA is filed under the name Nicotiana benthamiana. RNAcentral's name for it is "long non-coding RNA (NBEN_LNC018336)". Lineage: Eukaryota; Viridiplantae; Streptophyta; Magnoliopsida; Solanales; Solanaceae. The record is from RNAcentral.